RNAcentral lists this ribosomal RNA (381 nucleotides) under uncultured bacterium. RNAcentral's name for it is "bacterial SSU rRNA". It matches the Rfam family "Bacterial small subunit ribosomal RNA", at positions 524 to 903 of the family's 1533-position model. The record is from RNAcentral.
UACGAAGGGGGCUAGCGUUGCUCGGAAUGACUGGGCGUAAAGGGCGCGUAGGCGGCAUACACAGUCAGAUGUGAAAUUCCUGGGCUCAACCUGGGGACUGCAUUUGAUACGUGUAAGCUAGAGUGGAGAAGAGGGUCGUGGAAUUUCCAGUGUAGAGGUGAAAUUCGUAGAUAUUGGAAAGAACACCGGUGGCGAAGGCGGCGACCUGGUCUUUAACUGACGCUGAGGCGCGAAAGCGUGGGGAGCAAACAGGGAUUAGAUACCCUGGUAGUCCACGCUGUUAACGAUGUGUGCUGGAUGUUGGGAAACUUAGUUUUUCAGUGUCGUAGCUAACGCGAUAAGCACACCGCCUGGGGAGUACGGCCGCAAGGUUGAAACUCA